Chelonia mydas (Green sea turtle) is the source of this 3168-nucleotide long non-coding RNA. RefSeq lists it as uncharacterized. NCBI's taxonomy places the organism in Eukaryota, Metazoa, Chordata, Testudines, Cheloniidae. The record is from RefSeq and is a predicted model, not a curated record. The transcript has 3 exons.
CUAUGGUAACAUGAUACCUACUUGAUGAGGGUGUUGUGAGGCCUAAUUAAAGUCCUUUGAGACCCUCCAGUGAAAGGAGACAUAGACUUGCAAAGAAUUUUUUCCCCCUCAUCAUUGCUCAGUGUACUAACAUAUGAACCUCACCUCCACUUCUGACCUGCUGGCUUUAGAAGUACAGGGGUUCCACACUAUCCUGGCCACAAAUUCUGCUCUGCUGUGAUGAUCCUGAGAAACCACAAAUACCACUGGAGUCCUACUGGAGCAUGGAUCUUGCCAGUAGGUAGGAGAAUCUCCAAUGGACUUCAAUGAAAACAAAAUUGAACCCCCUCAGCAUCAGCAGCCUCUCAGUGAGUCCACGUUAACCCUGCCAUUGUCUUCUGCAAACACACCAUCAGUGUGCCUUCUGUGCUUGCAAUGGCGGCUGACCCGAACAAGCCUUUUGCAAAGCCCGCUGCUUCACGGUCAUGGGAGCCCAGCCAGAUUUUGGUGAAUCUCUCGUGCGAGGCCAGCAAAACCGUGGACUUCAGAAAGAGUACCAGGCAUGACCGUGCAUCCCAGCAAAGAAACUGACAACACUCCCAAUUUACCAGACCGGUAACCAGUGCAGGAUGUGGAUUAAGUUGCUCAAGAGCUAGUACCGGAAAAACUGGGAAGCAGAAAACAGACUCCGGCAAGUCACCCACGUUGUGCCCAUUUUAUGAGGCGUUUUACGGGAUGUUGGGCGCUGUGCCCAGCACGGAGCCAACGGAGGUGCAUGAUGACCUGGUCAGCCAGGAUGGUGCCCUAUUGGCUUCAGAAUCCAACAUGGGCACUGACGGGAGCCAGCAGCGAGGGAGGACCAUGAAAUCACUAGGUUGCUGAAACUGGUUUCAGAGCAGGCUUUGGAACAGGGGCAGCAGCAGCACGUUCUGGGUCCACACUCAGAGAAGCUGUUUGAUGCCCCGCUGGAAGAACAGCGCCCUGCAGAGCCUGCAGCAGACACAGAAGCCGCCCCUGAGCCCAGUAAGUUUAUGGAUCCGUUAUAAACUUUGAUAAUACUGUAAUGGCGGUGAUUUCCACUCUACGAACCAAUGCAAAAGUGGUGAGACGCUCCAGCUAGCAGUAUGUAUCUGCUGAUGGUGGAUUGUAUCCUAGCGCCUUGGUGUCCCUCCUUCCCACCCACCAUAUGUUGUUCAAAAUGGGGACUGGCAAAUACAAACAGUAAAUAAGCGCUUUAAAGUGAAUUUUUACUGGAAAGAUGCAGAUUUUUGCUAGAGCCAUUCCUGUUUCUUAGAAAUAACAACCUUCCAUUGCCAUGCCUUUAAGUUUGCUGUUCUGCAACCACUCCACGGUCUGUCAACAACCUGGAAACAGUGAACUCGAGAGGUGGGGGGGGAGAGAAAUGUGUUCCAUUUACAAAUCUAGUCCAUUUCGGCAGUCCAUAGGUGACAAGAUCAUUUGUCCCAAGUAUGAUGGGUAUUUUGAGUUUUUAAUCCAGAAACGUGCCGGCUGUGAAGUUUUGCGUGAUUGCAUGCAGCCAGGACAAGGUAAGCCAUGUAGAAGCUAAUGCAGCAUCCUGUUGAUUCCCUCAUAAAUUCUGACCCAAUCCCAGCUGCUGAUAGCUGUAAACUUUUUCUGAAACAGGAACUCCAGAUAGGUAUUCACAUUUUGGGGAAGGACGUAUUUUCCAGGUCCACCUCAUUAGCUCCCCAGCCCCUCUCAACUCAUAGAUGUGCUACUCAGUCACUAAACUUUUUAAUAAUUGGGCUGUAUAUCCUGCAGGUUGCCCACCAUCAGUCCGAAACAACAUCUCCCUUUGCCAGUUGGACGCCACAAGAACAGUUAUGCUGUGCAAAAGGUGAAAGGCCUGAAAUGAUAGAAAAAGCUUUGAUAAAAGGCUACUGAUUGCUUUUCUUUUCUUUUCUUUUUUUUUUUGCUUCCCCCCCCCCGCCCAAAGUAUUUCUGAAAAUUUUUAGAAAACUAAAAAAGGAGCCUUGAAUUUAUAAUUUACAACUGUCUCUGCACUUAUUUCAGUGCAAUUAACCAGGCUGUGUCCAGGGAACUUCUGUGGACUGAAGCCUCCCUGUCACAAUAUACUGAAGUUCAGUUUUGUAAAACAACUUUUUAUGUCCUUGACAUUCCACAAUAAUUAUUUUUGUGCUCCUGCACUGAGCUGUGUAAGACAAUAACCUUGUGUGUCACAUCCUGUUCACGGCCCCUCGACCGCUACUGGAUGCUGUACCUCCACAACUUGUCCAUAGUAGUACAAGCCUGGGCCAAUGGACCUUCAUGGACUAUGUCAAGAGGAAGUGUUUCCAUGAUGAACCUUGUGGUUGAAGUUCUGGAUAGGGACACCAAGUGGGUCCAGUACCCAAAACAGAGGGACUUGUGGCUGGAGCAAAGGCAUGCCAACAGGCAAGAGGAAAGGCAAGCCUGGCUGCACAGUUUGAGGACAGGGUUUCAGUGCGGGAGCAGGUCCUGGCUUUGCAGUUCCUGGAACAGGACGGAGCUCAGCAGAGAGAACUGAGUGGCUCAUCUCAACCAGGGCUGCAAAAGUACUGGCUCCUGCUGCCUCUCCCCCAUCACAGCCUGUGUCUCCUGCAAUGUACCCUCAGUCCAGAAACAGUUUCUGGGUGGCCCAUGCAAUCGGGGCCCAGGAGGGGCUAGGCAGGACACCAGAGCCUCAUGCACUCCUCCAUCUUGGCCCUCCCCCCCUCCUUCCCUGUGGUUGCCUCCAUCCUCCUCCAUUGGCACCAUGUGCCCAGAAAACAGGGAAAGGGAGCUAGGGGACAUGCAACGGUAGGGACUGUGUCGUGUACUGGGUUUCACGGUUUACACUUGUUCCUGCGUUUUUGUUUUGGAAAGGUUCUGUUGUAAGUGGUGUUUUGGUGUGGUAAUGGCAGCAGGCCUGUCUGGCAACAGGUGAGUAUUGUGCUGUUUAUAAAUAAAGCUUUGUAUGUCAAAGAUCAGCGCCAUCACUGCAUCUCAUCAUACAAUCUGUAUUUGAAAUAAUAAAGGCAAACGCAUCACCAGGAACAACUAGAAAUUAGUAAGCAAACACCAUUCCUCUAUGCAGUUAGGUACAGCAGUCCACACUUCAGUCACUUCCUUAUCUGAAUCCACACUGUUAAACAUCCCCACCCCAAGUUUCAUAAUUCAGCAUGUCAUUCACACGUAAACUGCAUGGCA